This 253-nucleotide ribosomal RNA is filed under the name uncultured bacterium. RNAcentral describes it as "partial 16S ribosomal RNA". It matches the Rfam family "Bacterial small subunit ribosomal RNA", at positions 524 to 776 of the family's 1533-position model. The record is from RNAcentral. RNAcentral also lists the same sequence under 1 other name.
UACGUAGGGUGCUAGCGUUGUUCGGAAUCAUUGGGCGUAAAGCGCGUGUAGGUUGUUAUGUAAGUCGGAUGUGAAAUCCCUGGGCUCAACCGAGGAAGUGCAUCCGAAACUAUAUGGCUAGAGGACGGUAGAGGAAGGUGGAAUUCCAAGUGUAGAGGUGAAAUUCGUAGAUAUUUGGAGGAAUACCGGCGGCGAAGGCGGCCUUCUGGGCCGUUCCUGACACUGAGACGCGAAAGCGUGGGUAGCAAACAGG